Molecule: ribosomal RNA, 440 nt
Filed under: uncultured bacterium
Lineage: Bacteria
Description: partial 16S ribosomal RNA
Rfam family: Bacterial small subunit ribosomal RNA
Source: RNAcentral
CCUACGGGGGGCAGCAGUGAGGAAUAUUGGGCAAUGGAGGCAACUCUGACCCAGCCAUGCCGCGUGAGUGAAGAAGGUUUUCGGAUUGUAAAGCUCUUUCGGAUGUGACGAUGAUGACGGUAGCAUCUAAAUAAGCCGCGGCUAACUUCGUGCCAGAAGCCGCGGUAAUACGAAGGGGGCAAGCGAGGUUAGGACUUACGGGGCGUAAAGGGAGUGUAGGCGGUUUAGUAAGAUAUUGGUGAAAUCCCAGGGCUUAACUUUGGAAUUGCCAUUAUAACUAUUAGACUAGAAUUACAGAGAGGAAAGUGGAAUACCCAGUGUAGAGGUGAAAGUCGGAGAUAUUGGGUAGAACACCAGUGGCGAAGGCGACUAUCUGGCUGUACAUUGACGCUGAGGCUCGAAAGCAUGGGGAUCAAACAGGAUUAGAUACCCGUGUAGUC